Long non-coding RNA from Rhipicephalus microplus (southern cattle tick), 559 nucleotides. The record is from RefSeq and is a predicted model, not a curated record. NCBI's taxonomy places the organism in Eukaryota, Metazoa, Arthropoda, Arachnida, Ixodida, Ixodidae.
GUUUUCAGAUGGCGCCAGAGGCAUUUCUCCUAUUUCAAAAGCCUGGGAAUCCCCGGUCCCGAACCCAAUCUGCUGUGGGGAAACAUACGCGAGUAUCACUCAACGCAUCAUCACAAAGUCAUUGAAAAAUGGCUUGAAAAGUACGGCGACACAUUCGGAUUUUAUGACGGAGAUGUACCUUUUGUUGUAACAUUGGAUUUGGACUUCUUGGAAUAUGUUCUAGUUCGCAACUUUCAAAACUUCACGGAUCGCGGGGAUGAGUUGCUGACGGAGCAGAAACACCCGCUAUUGCGCAACUCUAUAGUCUACGCUGCAGGUACCCAGUGGAGAAACAUACGGCGAUGUGUAGCCUCCGGCUUUACACCAGCGAAGCUGAAACAGAUGCUGACAGAUAUGAAUAGAGGCGCGGAUAUUUACCUGGACAUUGCCGGAGAGCAUGCCGACUCCGGCCGUGAAGCGAACGUUUACGAGCUUUACCGGAAGCUAAGCAUGGACUACGUGGGCCGCGCAGCAUUCGGCGUCGACUGCAGCUUCCAGAGAGGACCCGACAACGUCCUCG